AGCACAGGUGAGACGUGGUCUUGUAACACAGUGGUUAAGAAUGUGACUUUGGAGCCAGCCUGCUAGGGGCUGAAUUCUGACUCAGCCAUUUAUUAACUGUGUGACCUUAGGUCAUAGAAUUUUCCACACUCCUUGACGGAGGUUCUUAACCCUUAUCCAUCAGCAUUCUCAGACAGCACCUCCGGUUAGGGACAGUAUCUGACCGUCCGACAUCCCUGCAGCCCCCAUGCUGUCACACAGACUCAGCCUCAGGUAGAUGGUUUCCGUAGAUGGUGGCUUUCUUUGGACCCUUGAUAUCAACCAGUUACUAUUUGACUCUUCUGCAGAACCCCAUGUUGACCCCUGCUUUGAGGUGGCAGCGUUAACACUACUCUUUGUUAUAAGCUCUCGUCUGGGGCAACUCAGGAGAACCCAGAGACAGACUCCCAGACUUGGCCAGAGGCUGAUGCCGACCCCUUCCAGCUCUCACGGUAACCAUGAGGCCCCUGCGUGUUUCUGUUGUGGAGGUCCCAGAGGGAACUGUGUGGACGGACACAGCCUGAAGGGCCAUCUGCCCCAAGCCACAGC
This 567-nucleotide non-coding RNA is filed under the name Pongo abelii (Sumatran orangutan). The record is from RNAcentral. Lineage: Eukaryota; Metazoa; Chordata; Mammalia; Primates; Hominidae.